AACGAACGCUGGUGGCAUGCCUAACACAUGCAAGUCGAACGAGACCUUCGGGUCUAGUGGCGCACGGGUACGUAACGCGUGGGAACCUGCCCUUAGGUUCGGAAUAACUCCCCGAAAGGGGUGCUAAUACCGGAUAAUGUCUUCGGACCAAAGAUUUAUCGCCUUUGGAUGGGCCCGCGUUGGAUUAGCUAGUUGGUAGGGUAAAAGCCUACCAAGGCGACGAUCCAUAGCUGGUCUGAGAGGAUGAUCAGCCACACUGGGACUGAGACACGGCCCAGACUCCUACGGGAGGCAGCAGUGGGGAAUAUUGGACAAUGGGCGAAAGCCUGAUCCAGCAAUGCCGCGUGAGUGAUGAAGGCCUUAGGGUUGUAAAGCUCUUUUACCCGGGAUGAUAAUGACAGUACCGGGAGAAUAAGCUCCGGCUAACUCCGUG
This 433-nucleotide ribosomal RNA is filed under the name uncultured bacterium. RNAcentral's name for it is "partial 16S ribosomal RNA". It matches the Rfam family "Bacterial small subunit ribosomal RNA", at positions 29 to 507 of the family's 1533-position model. The record is from RNAcentral.